GGGUUGUGAGGUUAAGCGACUAAGCGUACACGGUGGAUGCCCUGGCAGUCAGAGGCGAUGAAGGACGUGCUAAUCUGCGAAAAGCGCCGGCGAGGUGAUAUGAACCUUUGACCCGGCGAUGUCCGAAUGGGGAAACCCAGUGUGAUUCGUCACACUAUCGUUAACUGAAUACAUAGGUUAACGAGGCGAACCGGGGGAACUGAAACAUCUAAGUACCCCGAGGAAAAGAAAUCAACCGAGAUUCCCCCAGUAGCGGCGAGCGAACGGGGAGCAGCCCAGAGUCUGAAUCAGCUUGUGUGUUAGUGGAAGCGUCUGGAAAGUCGCACGGUACAGGGUGACAGUCCCGUACACGAAAGCACACAGGUUGUGAACUCGAAGAGUAGGGCGGGACACGUGGUAUCCUGUCUGAAUAUGGGGGGACCAUCCUCCAAGGCUAAAUACUCCUGACUGACCGAUAGUGAACCAGUACCGUGAGGGAAAGGCGAAAAGAACCCCGGCGAGGGGAGUGAAAAAGAACCUGAAACCGUGUACGUACAAGCAGUGGGAGCACCCUAGUGGUGUGACUGCGUACCUUUUGUAUAAUGGGUCAGCGACUUAUAUUCUGUAGCAAGGUUAACCGUAUAGGGGAGCCGAAGGGAAACCGAGUCUUAACUGGGCGUUAAGUUGCAGGGUAUAGACCCGAAACCCGGUGAUCUAGCCAUGGGCAGGUUGAAGGUUGGGUAACACUAACUGGAGGACCGAACCGACUAAUGUUGAAAAAUUAGCGGAUGACUUGUGGCUGGGGGUGAAAGGCCAAUCAAACCGGGAGAUAGCUGGUUCUCCCCGAAAGCUAUUUAGGUAGCGCCUCGUGAACUCAUCUUCGGGGGUAGAGCACUGUUUCGGCUAGGGGGCCAUCCCGGCUUACCAACCCGAUGCAAACUACGAAUACCGAAGAAUGUUAUCACGGGAGACACACGGCGGGUGCUAACGUCCGUCGUGAAGAGGGAAACAACCCAGACCGCCAGCUAAGGUCCCAAAGUCAUGGUUAAGUGGGAAACGAUGUGGGAAGGCACAGACAGCCAGGAUGUUGGCUUAGAAGCAGCCAUCAUUUAAAGAAAGCGUAAUAGCUCACUGGUCGAGUCGGCCUGCGCGGAAGAUGUAACGGGGCUAAACCAUGCACCGAAGCUGCGGCAGCGACGCUUAGGCGUUGUUGGGUAGGGGAGCGUUCUGUAAGCCGUUGAAGGUGUGCUGUGAGGCAUGCUGGAGGUAUCAGAAGUGCGAAUGCUGACAUAAGUAACGAUAAAGCGGGUGAAAAGCCCGCUCGCCGGAAGACCAAGGGUUCCUGUCCAACGUUAAUCGGGGCAGGGUGAGUCGACCCCUAAGGCGAGGCCGAAAGGCGUAGUCGAUGGGAAACAGGUUAAUAUUCCUGUACUUGGUGUUACUGCGAAGGGGGGACGGAGAAGGCUAUGUUAGCCGGGCGACGGUUGUCCCGGUUUAAGCAUGUAGGCGGAGGUUCCAGGUAAAUCCGGUACCUUUUAACGCUGAGGUGUGAUGACGAGGCACUACGGUGCUGAAGUAACAAAUGCCCUGCUUCCAGGAAAAGCCUCUAAGCAUCAGGUAACAUCAAAUCGUACCCCAAACCGACACAGGUGGUCAGGUAGAGAAUACCAAGGCGCUUGAGAGAACUCGGGUGAAGGAACUAGGCAAAAUGGUGCCGUAACUUCGGGAGAAGGCACGCUGAUAUGUAGGUGAAGCCCCUGCGGGUGGAGCUGAAAUCAGUCGAAGAUACCAGCUGGCUGCAACUGUUUAUUAAAAACACAGCACUGUGCAAACACGAAAGUGGACGUAUACGGUGUGACGCCUGCCCGGUGCCGGAAGGUUAAUUGAUGGGGUUAGCGGCAACGCGAAGCUCUUGAUCGAAGCCCCGGUAAACGGCGGCCGUAACUAUAACGGUCCUAAGGUAGCGAAAUUCCUUGUCGGGUAAGUUCCGACCUGCACGAAUGGCGUAAUGAUGGCCAGGCUGUCUCCACCCGAGACUCAGUGAAAUUGAACUCGCUGUGAAGAUGCAGUGUACCCGCGGCAAGACGGAAAGACCCCGUGAACCUUUACUAUAGCUUGACACUGAACACUGGUCCUUGAUGUGUAGGAUAGGUGGGAGGCUUUGAAGCGUGGACGCCAGUCUGCGUGGAGCCAACCUUGAAAUACCACCCUUUAAUGGCUGGUGUUCUAACGUAGACCCGUGAUCCGGGUUGCGGACAGUGUCUGGUGGGUAGUUUGACUGGGGCGGUCUCCUCCCAAAGAGUAACGGAGGAGCACGAAGGUUAGCUAAUCCUGGUCGGACAUCAGGAGGUUAGUGCAAUGGCAUAAGCUAGCUUGACUGCGAGAGUGACGGCUCGAGCAGGUGCGAAAGCAGGUCAUAGUGAUCCGGUGGUUCUGAAUGGAAGGGCCAUCGCUCAACGGAUAAAAGGUACUCCGGGGAUAACAGGCUGAUACCGCCCAAGAGUUCAUAUCGACGGCGGUGUUUGGCACCUCGAUGUCGGCUCAUCACAUCCUGGGGCUGAAGUAGGUCCCAAGGGUAUGGCUGUUCGCCAUUUAAAGUGGUACGCGAGCUGGGUUUAGAACGUCGUGAGACAGUUCGGUCCCUAUCUGCCGUGGGCGCUGGAGAAUUGAGGGGGGCUGCUCCUAGUACGAGAGGACCGGAGUGGACGCAUCACUGGUGUUCGGGUUGUCAUGCCAAUGGCACUGCCCGGUAGCUAAAUGCGGAAAAGAUAAGUGCUGAAAGCAUCUAAGCACGAAACUUGCCCCGAGAUGAGUUCUCCCUGACUCCUUGAGAGUCCUGAAGGAACGUUGAAGACUACGACGUUGAUAGGUCGGGUGUGUAAGCGCAGCGAUGCGUUGAGCUAACCGAUACUAAUGAACCGUGAGGCUUAACCUUACAACGCCGAAGCUGUU
This 2931-nucleotide ribosomal RNA is filed under the name Enterobacter sp. E20. RNAcentral's name for it is "bacterial LSU rRNA". It matches the Rfam family "Bacterial large subunit ribosomal RNA". Lineage: Bacteria; Pseudomonadati; Pseudomonadota; Gammaproteobacteria; Enterobacterales; Enterobacteriaceae. The record is from RNAcentral.